ACGGGUGAGUAAUGCAUAGGAAUCUGCCCGGUAGUGGGGGAUAACGUGGGGAAACCCACGCUAAUACCGCAUACGUCCUACGGGAGAAAGCGGGGGAUCUUCGGACUUCGCGCUAUCGGAUGAGCCUAUGUCGGAUUAGCUGGUUGGUAAGGUAACGGCUUACCAAGGCAACGAUCCGUAGCUGGUCUGAGAGGAUGAUCAGCCACACUGGGACUGAGACACGGCCCAGACUCCUACGGGAGGCAGCAGUGGGGAAUAUUGGACAAUGGGCGAAAGCCUGAUCCAGCCAUGCCGCGUGUGUGAAGAAGGCUUUCGGGUUGUAAAGCACUUUCAGCGAGGAAGAAAGCCUCUGGGUUAAUACCCCAGAGGAAGGACAUCACUCGCAGAAGAAGCACCGGCUAACUCCGUGCCAGCAGCCGCGGUAAUACGGAGGGUGCGAGCGUUAAUCGGAAUUACUGGGCGUAAAGCGCGCGUAGGUGGCUUGGCACGCCGGUUGUGAAAGCCCCGGGCUCAACCUGGGAACGGCAUCCGGAACGGCCAGGCUAGAGUGCAGGAGAGGAAGGUAGAAUUCCCGGUGUAGCGGUGAAAUGCGUAGAGAUCGGGAGGAAUACCAGUGGCGAAGGCGGCCUUCUGGCCUGACACUGACACUGAGGUGCGAAAGCGUGGGUAGCAAACAGGAUUAGAUACCCUGGUAGUCCACGCCGUAAACGAUGUCGACUAGCCGUUGGGACCUUUAAGGACUUAGUGGCGCAGUUAACGCGAUAAGUCGACCGCCUGGGGAGUACGGCCGCAAGGUUAAAACUCAAAUGAAUUUG
Molecule: ribosomal RNA, 815 nt
Filed under: Salinicola salarius
Lineage: Bacteria; Pseudomonadati; Pseudomonadota; Gammaproteobacteria; Oceanospirillales; Halomonadaceae
Description: bacterial SSU rRNA
Rfam family: Bacterial small subunit ribosomal RNA
Source: RNAcentral